This 467-nucleotide ribosomal RNA is filed under the name uncultured bacterium. Its description in RNAcentral is "partial 16S ribosomal RNA". It matches the Rfam family "Bacterial small subunit ribosomal RNA", at positions 28 to 507 of the family's 1533-position model. The record is from RNAcentral.
GACGAACGCUGGCGGCGUGCUUAACACAUGCAAGUCGAACGGAAAGGCCUCUUUCGGGGGGUACUCGAGUGGCGAACGGGUGAGUAACAUGUGAGUAACCUGCCCUUGACUUUGGGAUAACUUCAGGAAACUGGGGCUAAUACCGGAUAGGAGCUCCUGCUGCAUGGUGGGGGUUGGAAAGUUUCGGCGGUUGGGGAUGGACUCGCGGCUUAUCAGCUUGUUGGUUGGGUAGUGGCUUACCAAGGCUUUGACGGGUAGCCGGCCUGAGAGGGUGACCGGCCACAUUGGGACUGAGAUACGGCCCAGACUCCUACGGGAGGCAGCAGUGGGGAAUAUUGCACAAUGGGUGGAAGCCUGAUGCAGCAACGCCGUGUGCGGGAUGACGGCCUUCGGGUUGUAAACCGCUUUCGCUCAUGACGAAGCUUUGUGUGACGGUAGUGGGUAAAGAAGCACCGGCUAACUACGUG